AGAAACCCAUUGGUUGUAAAUGGGUUUAUAAAAUCAAAUACAAGGCUGAUGGCUGUGUUGAAAGGUAUAAAGCUAGACUUGUUAUUAGAGGAGAUACACAGGUUGAAGGUAUUGAUUUCACUGACACUUUUUCUCCUGUAGUUAAAAUGUGCACUGUUAAGUGUCUCAUUGCUGUGGCUGUAUAAAAUCAUUGGACUUUAUUUCAACUAGAUGUUAAUAAUGCUUUCUUGCAUGGUGAUUUGGAUGAGGAGGUCUAUAUGAAGCUUCCUCCUGGUUUAGUUGUUUCUGCUCCUGCCUUUGUUUCUGCCCCUUCUGCCUCUACUGCUCCCCUUGUUUGCAAAUUAAACAAAUCCCUAUAUGGGCUCAGACAGGCUUCCAGACAAUGGUAUGCCAAGUUGUCUUCUGCUCGGCAUCCAGACAAUGGUAUGCCAAAUUGUCUUAUGCCUCAUAUUCCAGAGGCUAUAGACAUUCUUUGAAUGAUUAUUCUCUAUUCAUUAAAGGUACACCAGGGUCCCUUGUGAUUGUAGCUGUCUAUGUGAAUGAUAUUAUUCUUACUGGGGAUGACUGUGAUGAAAUUGGUGCCCUGAAACUGUAUCUGGAUGAUCAGUUCAAAAUUAAGGACCUAGGGUCCUUACAUUAUUUUUUAGGCAUAGAGAUUUGAUGCCCUGAAACUGUUUUUGGAUGAUCAGUUCAAAAUUAAGGACCUAGGGUCCUUACAUUACUUUUUAGGCAUAGAGAUGUCAGCUGUUCCUGGUGGGAUGAUCCUUAAUCAGCACAAAUAUAUUUCUGAUUUGCUGCAACAAUUUGACUGUGUCAAUGUCUCUUCUGUUGUUUGUCCUUUGGACAUUAAUGCAAAAUUUCAUGCUAAUUCUGGUGACCUUUUACCUUCUCCUGAUCAAUAUAGGAGUCUUGUUGGUAAGCUCUUAUUUUUUACUCAUACUAGGCCUGACAUCUGUUUUGUUGUGCAACAUCUGAGUCAGUUUCUGAAAUGCCCCAGACUUCCACAUAUGACUGCUGCCUUUCAUGUGUUGAGAUAUCUUAAAGGUACCC
Molecule: long non-coding RNA, 1050 nt
Filed under: Nicotiana benthamiana
Lineage: Eukaryota; Viridiplantae; Streptophyta; Magnoliopsida; Solanales; Solanaceae
Description: long non-coding RNA (NBEN_LNC012556)
Source: RNAcentral